GCCCUGGUAGUUUAGUGGUGAAGACUUGGUGCUCUCAUUGCCAAGGUCUGGGUUCAUUUCUCAGUCAGGGAA
This 72-nucleotide transfer RNA is filed under the name Equus caballus (horse). It matches the Rfam family "tRNA". Rfam says of the family: Transfer RNA (tRNA) molecules are approximately 80 nucleotides in length. Their secondary structure includes four short double-helical elements and three loops (D, anti-codon, and T loops). The record is from Rfam by way of RNAcentral. Lineage: Eukaryota; Metazoa; Chordata; Mammalia; Perissodactyla; Equidae.